CAGCAGCCGCGGUAAAACGUAGGUGGCAAGCGUUGUCCGGAAUUAUCGGGCGUAAAGCGUGCGCAGGCGGUUUUGUAAGACAGGCGUGAAAUCCCCGGGCUCAACCUGGGAAUGGCGCUUGUGACUGCAAAGCUAGAGUGCGGCAGAGGGGGAUGGAAUUCCGCGUGUAGCAGUGAAAUGCGUAGAUAUGCGGAGGAACACCGAUGGCGAAGGCAAUCCCCUGGGCCUGCACUGACGCUCAUGCACGAAAGCGUGGGGAGCAAACAGGAUUAGAUACCCGAGUAGUCCCUGUCUCUUAUAC
RNAcentral lists this ribosomal RNA (301 nucleotides) under uncultured bacterium. Its description in RNAcentral is "partial 16S ribosomal RNA". It matches the Rfam family "Bacterial small subunit ribosomal RNA", at positions 509 to 807 of the family's 1533-position model. The record is from RNAcentral.